Molecule: long non-coding RNA, 619 nt
Filed under: Sus scrofa (pig)
Lineage: Eukaryota; Metazoa; Chordata; Mammalia; Artiodactyla; Suidae
Description: lncRNA (ENSSSCG00070000721.1)
Source: RNAcentral
GGAAGUAGCCCCUUGAGACUAUUUGUACUUUUUUUUUUUCAAACAGUGGGGCUCCAGAGCCUGUACAUGUUGCUGGGUGUGCAGUAAACACACAGAAAACAGUAUAUGCCCACCCUGCUCGUGAGGAGGGAGUUGCUGAGUCUACACUCUGUGCCAUCUACCAUGCAAUUCACCACAGUAAUUUCGAAUAGCUUCUUGGGUCUUGCAUCAUUUGUGAAAGUGAAGCAAACCUUCCUCUACUGUACAGAGUGUCCAGAAAUAGAGCUCAUCAGAGUAACCCAGUUGACAUAAUGAGUGCCUUCACGUUCUCAUCAUACGAUGCGGGUUUCAACAGUGUUCCUAGGAGUUCCCAUCGUGGUGCAGCAGAAGCGGAUCUGACUAGGAAUCAUGAGGUUGCAGGUUCGAUCCCUGGCCUCACUCAGUGAGUUAAGGAUCCAGCGUUGCCAUGAGCUGUGGUGUAGGUCACAGACGCGGCUCAGAUCUGGUGUUGCUGUGGCUGUGGAGUAAGCCAGCAGCUACAGCUCUGAUUAGAGCCCUAGCCUGGAAAACUCCAUAUGCCAUGGGUGCGGCCCUAAAAAGACAAAAUAAAUAAAUAAAUAAAUAGUUUUCCUAUUUUUUU